Molecule: ribosomal RNA, 497 nt
Filed under: uncultured bacterium
Lineage: Bacteria
Description: partial 16S ribosomal RNA
Rfam family: Bacterial small subunit ribosomal RNA
Source: RNAcentral
GAUGAACGCUGGCGGCGUGCCUAAUACAUGCAAGUCGAGCGAACAGACGAGGAGCUUGCUCCUCUGACGUUAGCGGCGGACGGGUGAGUAACACGUGGAUAACCUACCUAUAAGACUGGGAUAACUUCGGGAAACCGGAGCUAAUACCGGAUAAUAUAUUGAACCGCAUGGUUCAAUAGUGAAAGACGGUUUUGCUGUCACUUAUAGAUGGAUCCGCGCCGCAUUAGCUAGUUGGUAAGGUAACGGCUUACCAAGGCAACGAUGCGUAGCCGACCUGAGAGGGUGAUCGGCCACACUGGAACUGAGACACGGUCCAGACUCCUACGGGAGGCAGCAGUAGGGAAUCCUCCGCAAUGGGCGAAAGCCUGACGGAGCAACGCCGCGUGAGUGAUGAAGGUCUUCGGAUCGUAAAACUCUGUUAUUAGGGAAGAACAAAUAUGUAAGUAACUAUGCACGUCUUGACGGUACCUAAUCAGAAAGCCACGGCUAACUACGUG